This is a long non-coding RNA of Macaca fascicularis (crab-eating macaque), 2140 nucleotides long. The record is from Ensembl. Lineage: Eukaryota; Metazoa; Chordata; Mammalia; Primates; Cercopithecidae.
UUUUUUUUUUUUUUUUUUUUUUUGGCAGCGCUAGCUGAGGUUUUAUUUUGAACCAAAAAAAGAAGCAAUUGAAUUGUUUUAUAGCUGGAGGCAUGGGCAAGGGGAGUCCCCACGUAGUAAACUCCCCUGUGCGUGGGCUGAGGGCCCUCAGGUGGGUCUCCUGUUCCCAGUGGUACCCUACAUAGCGGUCUCCCUCCCAGGCUCUGGGGCAGCACAGGAGGGGUAGGCUGGGAGGGGCUGCCGCAGCUGUUCACUUGGGCAGGAGGUCAGAGGACUCGGACACAAGCUUCCCAUUGCGUGUCUUGAUCUUCUUCACAACCAUGGCCCUGGAGGAGCUGGUGCGUCUGAAGGAGCUGGAGCCCGCACCAGAGCCAAAGCUGGAGCCCACGCCGUAGCUGAGGCCCGGGCUUGUGAGGCCCCCAUAGGCGGAGCUCAGACCACCUGCAUAGCCGCUGGUGGUCUUCAUAUGAAGACUCAUGUUCUGCAUCCCAGACUCCAGCCGGCUCUCUUCUCCCUCCAGCAGCUUCCUGUAGGUGGCGAUCUCGAUGUACAGGGCCAGCUUGACGUUCACCAGCUCCUGGUACUCACGCAGCUGCCGUGCCAUGUCUUGCUUGGCCCGCUGCAGGGCGGCCUCCAGCUCGGACAACUUGGCGUUGGCAUCCUUAAUGGCCAGCUCUCCACGCUGCUCAGCAUCUGCAAUAGCCGCCUCCAGGGAAGCCCUCUGGCCUUUGAGGCCCUCAAUCUCAGCAUGGAGCCUGCUGAUGUUCCGGUUCAUCUCGGAGAUCUCAGUCUUGGUGCACCGCAGGUCAUCCCCGUGCUUCGCAGCCAGGCUCUGCAGCUCCUCAUACUUGAUCUGGUACAUGCUCUCAGCCUCAGCCCGGCUGCGGUUGGCGAUCUCCUUGUACUGUGCCUUGACCUCAGCAAUGAUGCUGUCCAUGUCCAGGGAGCGGCUGUUGUGCAUGGACAGCACCACAGAUGUGUCCCAGAUCUGGGACUGCAGCUCCUGGAUCUCCUCUUCAUACAGCUGCCUGAGGAAGUUGAUCUCAUCAGUCAGCCCUUCCAGGCAAGACUCCAUCUCUACCUUGUUCAUGUAAGCUUCAUCCACAUCCUUCUUGAUGAGGACAAAUUCAUUCUCCAUCUCUGUACGCUUAUUGAUCUCAUCCUCAUACUUGUUCUUGAAGUUCUCCACCAGCCCGUGCAUGUUGCCAAGCUCCGCCUCCAGCUUCAGCUUCUCCUGGCCCAGAGUCUCCAGCUGCCGCCUAAAGUUGUUGAUGUAACUCUCGAACAUGUUGUCCAUGUUGCUCCGAGCCGCCUUCUGCUGCUGCAGGAGGCUCCACCUGGUCUCCAGCAUCUUGUUCGGCUGCUCCAGGAACCGUACCUUGUCGAUGAAGGAGGCAAACUUGUUGUUAAGGGUCUUGAUCUGAUCCUUCUCCUGGGUGCGCACGGCCUGGAUGUUGGGGUCCACCUCCAGGUUAAGGGGGCUCAGCAGGCUCUGGUUGACCGUGACUGCAGUGAUGCCUCCCAUGCCGCUAGCCCCACCAUAGCCGCCGCCCAGGCCACCCCGAAAGCUGCUGCCUCCCACGCGGGAGAAGCUCGAGGAGCUGAUGAAGGCACCGGGCCCACUCGUGUAGGAGCCGCUGCUGAAGGCCCGGGGGCCAGAGGUGGACACUUUGUAGGACUUCUGGGUCACCCUGAUGGACAUGGUGGAUGCAGGAGUGGAGGCAGGUGGCCCGAACCAGGCAGAGAUCCUAGAAGGAGCGGAGAAUGUACCACAUUUUCUUUAUCCAGUCUACCAUUGAUGAGAAUUUAGGUUGAUUCCAAAAAAAAAAAAACCAAAUCUUUUGAAAAAAAAUCAAGUGAGACAAAAAAUAAAAAAGAGGAAGAAAGAAUAAGCAAAGACUACCCAAGAAAAGAGGAGAGAAGACCCAAAUAAACAAAACCAGAGACGAAAAAGGAGACAUUACAAUUGAUACCUAUGCCAAAACCAGACAAGGACACAACAGCAACAAAAAAAAAAACUCCAGACCAAUAUCCCUGAUAAAUAUAGAUGCAUAAAUAUUCAACAAAAUACUAGCAAACUAAAUCCAAUAGCACAUCAAGAGGAUAAUACACUACAAUCAAGUGGGUUUUAUAUUAUGGA